Molecule: long non-coding RNA, 1191 nt
Organism: Hippocampus zosterae (dwarf seahorse)
Lineage: Eukaryota; Metazoa; Chordata; Actinopteri; Syngnathiformes; Syngnathidae
Exons: 3
Source: RefSeq, a predicted model, not a curated record
CCUCGGUCCUGCUGAAAAGCUCCUAUUGUCCGACUCCACCUCCAUCAGAAGUCAUUAAUUAUGGGCCGUGAUGCUCAGCUCAGUGCGAAUAAGUCCAGCCUUCACACUCACAGCCCAACUCUCCUUCCUUGUCAUGUUACAGCAUGCAGAGACUGAUGGGACCCAAGUCCCGCUCCCCUCCUCUGAACCCUUUUAAUGAAUCCAAGCUGACCGCUUAGCAAAGCCCCGUUACAACUUUUGCUUUUUUAGAACUACACCUUGAGGCACGAGUAGGGAAAGGAAGGAAGGAAUAUGUAUAUCCUCAAAGGCACCCAUGGGGGAGGUGAGCUGUGGCCUUUUGGACCUUCGGCGCUGCCAGUCUUGAUGAAUGACAUCUGCAGGAUUGUCUAGUGGCGCUUGGCUAUUGUCCAGCUGAAAGAACUGCCCUGACCCAUGACCCCUGACCCCUGAGGGCUGCCCUGCGCCCUACCUAGAGGACAGGAUUGGAGCUGUUGCUGGGAGCAGAGGCAACAUGGGGAUUAAACGAGGCUGAGUGGUUUGUGCUGGGAAAUUGAUACUCCCACAACUCCCCGAGUUCUUAACCUCAAAACUCAAGUGGUGAUAUUCAUGCAUCCCAACAGUGCUGGAAAGGUACCGCUGAAUUUCUUCACCAACCACCGUCUGAUAUGAUUCACAUUUACUUUAUUUUGGAUGAAACAACUUGUCUGUGGUGGAUAAAGUGAUGCUUACAACAACAUGAGAAUGCUUCUUUUCUACCUUCGCAGAUAACAAGAAAUAUUUUGUGGUGAGAAAUAUGACAGCCAAUGACAUUUUCAGAACCAAAUAAAAACGAUCAUGAACCAAAUAUAGGUCACAAAUGCAAUCAAAGCAUUCCUAAGCAAAUGAAUGCUUUGACCUUGGAUUUGUUUGGAUUUCAGACAUUUCCUUGAGUAAAGAAUAAUAAUAUUUUUGGAGUUGGAACAUGACGACGAGACUGGAGACACCAGAGAUAUUCUUGUUUCCAAAUUUCCAACGUUUAAAUAUUUAAAGCAAAAGUACUAAUUGCUGGUUAGGAGGCAAGCAAGAGCACAUGAGACAGAAUCACUUGGUUACAUUUGAACCCUUGCUCUUUACCUUUUGGACCAUUUUGUCCUUUACAAUGUCAUUUUACCAUCAAACUUUUUGGGGUGCAACGUCAUUUCUAUUUCAGCA